GUACAUGUGCAGGUGAGAGGACGGAAUACUACCUUUGCAACGAGCACUGUAUAACGUAAACACUUUACCCAGCUGCAUGUAUUUAAGGCCCAUGCACCAGGUGGACAGUACCGAUCGUUUUGCACAAACACGCACAAGCAUCUCGCGCUGUCCUGAUCAACCGACGCUGCCGUGCCGCGAUGUUCCAGAGCUCAUCUUCUGCUCAUCAUCUCCAGACACCCCCGCCACCGCUGCCAUUGAUCUUGUGCACGAGGUGCGCCUGGACGAGGACUAGGGAAGUGCUGCACAAAUUCACCAAACUUCUAAAAUUUAGUUAUACUAAGUAUAGCUUUCCUUUUGCAUUGUCUGAACAUUAAAAAAUGUCACCAUCCCGACAGAGAAUCAGCGACCAGAAUAACAUUGACCAAAAGAACUUACUCAUGCAAGUGCGCUGGUUCUUAUUACUAGCAAAUCAAGGCUUAUUGUCAAUGAAAUUUAACCAGGAUAUAUACUGCAGGGGCACGGGUACUUUUGCAACGCUUCUGCAACCUCGCGCACCACCGGAGGGUGUGCCGCUCCGGCUGAUCUGCAGUUUCGGCACGCAGCCAGCUGGUAAGGACGAGAGAAUAUGGAAAACAGGGACAUCACAGCCCAUCCGCCGACAGCAGGCAGAGAAGAAGAGGGCAGAGUUUUGCUCACCCUGCGCCCAACGCCGGCGUCGUUGCUCCCAGAAUCGCCAUGACUACAUCCAGACGGACCUCGAGCGGCCCGAACGCAAAUAAUUAGUGCGGACGGAGG
Molecule: long non-coding RNA, 777 nt
Filed under: Triticum aestivum (bread wheat)
Lineage: Eukaryota; Viridiplantae; Streptophyta; Magnoliopsida; Poales; Poaceae
Description: long non-coding RNA (TAES_LNC017596)
Source: RNAcentral